GCAGAGCUUGGAAUACUCAUUGCCUCCCUGGAUCUUGUGGCCCCAAUUCUUUCCAUGUUUUUUCUCAUGUGUUACCUCUUUGUAAACUUGGCAUGUGCCUUGCAAACAUUACUUCGAACACCCAACUGGAGACCCCGAUUCCGCUACUACCAUUGGGCCCUUUCUUUCAUGGGAAUGAGUAUCUGUCUGGCUCUGAUGUUCAUUUCUUCCUGGUAUUAUGCCAUUGUAGCCAUGGUAAUAGCUGGUAUGAUCUACAAGUACAUUGAAUACCAAGGAGCUGAGAAAGAAUGGGGUGAUGGUAUCCGUGGGCUGUCCCUCAGUGCAGCCCGGUUUGCUUUGCUUCGAUUGGAGGAAGGACCUCCACACACUAAAAACUGGAGGUAAAGAAAUCAACACUAGCAGUAUUUGGCACAUAGUUAACACACAAAAAUAUGUGUUUUGUUGAUUUUAGGAUAAGGAAACCAUAUGUGGCUCAAGGAAUUGGUAUAAUGGACUUGUUUUGAACUAUUCUAAAUCGUUAAUUUUUUUAUUCCCUUUUCUUCAUGUCGUU
RNAcentral lists this small RNA (550 nucleotides) under Pan troglodytes (chimpanzee). Its description in RNAcentral is "retained intron". The record is from RNAcentral. Lineage: Eukaryota; Metazoa; Chordata; Mammalia; Primates; Hominidae.